AGUGAACGCUGGCGGCAUGCCUAAUACAUGCAAGUCGAACGGAAGCACAGUAAGAUCUUGUCCUUACGGUUGGCGGGUGACGGAUGGGUAAGGCAUACAUCACAAACUACUUUUUCGUGGGGGACUACGGAGGGACACUUAUGCUAAUAGCGCAUACUAUGUACCGGUUGAAUCAAAGGAUCUUCGCAGUUUUCCUGUCACUAUUAGCCGGUGUCGGAUUAGCUAGUUGGCGUGGUAAAGGCACACCAAGGCGACGAUCCGUAGCAGAGCUGAGAGGAUGAUCAGCCACACUGGAACUGAGACACGGUCCAGACUCCUACGGGAGGCAGCAGUGGGGAAUAUUGGACAAUGGGCGAAAGCCUGAUCCAGCAAUACCGCGUGAGUGAAGAAGGCCUUCGGAUUGUAAAGCCCUUUUGUUGGGAAAGAACAGCUGCAUGUUAAUACCCGGAUGUUCUGACGGUACCCAAAGAAUAAGCACCGGCUAACUUCGUG
This 492-nucleotide ribosomal RNA is filed under the name uncultured bacterium. RNAcentral's name for it is "partial 16S ribosomal RNA". It matches the Rfam family "Bacterial small subunit ribosomal RNA", at positions 29 to 507 of the family's 1533-position model. The record is from RNAcentral.